ACUAAGCGUACACGGUGGAUGCCCUGGCAGUCAGAGGCGAUGAAGGACGUGCUAAUCUGCGAUAAGCGUCGGUAAGGUGAUAUGAACCGUUAUAACCGGCGAUUUCCGAAUGGGGAAACCCAGUGUGUUUCGACACACUAUCAUUAACUGAAUCCAUAGGUUAAUGAGGCGAACCGGGGGAACUGAAACAUCUAAGUACCCCGAGGAAAAGAAAUCAACCGAGAUUCCCCAGUAGCGGCGAGCGAACGGGGAGCAGCCCAGAGCCUGAAUCAGUGUGUGUGUUAGUGGAAGCGUCUGGAAAGGCGCGCGAUACAGGGUGACAGCCCGUACACAAAAAUGCACAUGCUGUGAGCUCGAUGAGUAGGGCGGGACACGUGGUAUCCUGUCUGAAUAUGGGGGACCAUCCUCCAAGGCUAAAUACUCCUGACUGACCGAUAGUGAACCAGUACCGUGAGGGAAAGGCGAAAAGAACCCCGGCGAGGGGAGUGAAAAAGAACCUGAAACCGUGUACGUACAAGCAGUGGGAGCCUCUUUAUGGGGUGACUGCGUACCUUUUGUAUAAUGGGUCAGCGACUUAUAUUCUGUAGCAAGGUUAACCGAAUAGGGGAGCCGAAGGGAAACCGAGUCUUAACUGGGCGUUAAGUUGCAGGGUAUAGACCCGAAACCCGGUGAUCUAGCCAUGGGCAGGUUGAAGGUUGGGUAACACUAACUGGAGGACCGAACCGACUAAUGUUGAAAAAUUAGCGGAUGACUUGUGGCUGGGGUGAAAGGCCAAUCAAACCGGGAGAUAGCUGGUUCUCCCCGAAAGCUAUUUAGGUAGCGCCUCGUGAAUUCAUCUCCGGGGGUAGAGCACUGUUUCGGCAAGGGGUCAUCCCGACUUACCAACCCGAUGCAAACUGCGAAUACCGGAGAAUGUUAUCACGGGAGACACACGGCGGGUGCUAACGUCCGUCGUGAAGAGGGAAACAACCCAGACCGCCAGCUAAGGUCCCAAAGUCAUGGUUAAGUGGGAAACGAUGUGGGAAGGCCCAGACAGCCAGGAUGUUGGCUUAGAAGCAGCCAUCAUUUAAAGAAAGCGUAAUAGCUCACUGGUCGAGUCGGCCUGCGCGGAAGAUGUAACGGGGCUAAACCAUGCACCGAAGCUGCGGCAGCGACGCUUAUGCGUUGUUGGGUAGGGGAGCGUUCUGUAAGCCUGUGAAGGUGUGCUGUGAGGCAUGCUGGAGGUAUCAGAAGUGCGAAUGCUGACAUAAGUAACGAUAAAGCGGGUGAAAAGCCCGCUCGCCGGAAGACCAAGGGUUCCUGUCCAACGUUAAUCGGGCAGGGUGAGUCGACCCCUAAGGCGAGGCCGAAAGGCGUAGUCGAUGGGAAACAGGUUAAUAUUCCUGUACUUGGUGUUACUGCGAAGGGGGACGGAGAAGGCUAUGUUGGCCGGGCGACGGUUGUCCCGGUUUAAGCGUGUAGGCUGAUUUUCCAGGCAAAUCCGGAAAAUCAAGGCUGAGGCGUGAUGACGAGGCACUACGGUGCUGAAGCAACAAAUGCCCUGCUUCCAGGAAAAGCCUCUAAGCAUCAGGUAACAUCAAAUCGUACCCCAAACCGACACAGGUGGUCAGGUAGAGAAUACCAAGGCGCUUGAGAGAACUCGGGUGAAGGAACUAGGCAAAAUGGUGCCGUAACUUCGGGAGAAGGCACGCUGAUAUGUAGGUGAAGUCCCUCGCGGAUGGAGCUGAAAUCAGUCGAAGAUACCAGCUGGCUGCAACUGUUUAUUAAAAACACAGCACUGUGCAAACACGAAAGUGGACGUAUACGGUGUGACGCCUGCCCGGUGCCGGAAGGUUAAUUGAUGGGGUCAGCGCAAGCGAAGCUCUUGAUCGAAGCCCCGGUAAACGGCGGCCGUAACUAUAACGGUCCUAAGGUAGCGAAAUUCCUUGUCGGGUAAGUUCCGACCUGCACGAAUGGCGUAAUGAUGGCCAGGCUGUCUCCACCCGAGACUCAGUGAAAUUGAACUCGCUGUGAAGAUGCAGUGUACCCGCGGCAAGACGGAAAGACCCCGUGAACCUUUACUAUAGCUUGACACUGAACAUUGAGCCUUGAUGUGUAGGAUAGGUGGGAGGCUUAGAAGUGUGGACGCCAGUCUGCAUGGAGCCGGCCUUGAAAUACCACCCUUUAAUGUUUGAUGUUCUAACGUGGACCCGUAAUCCGGGUUGCGGACAGUGUCUGGUGGGUAGUUUGACUGGGGCGGUCUCCUCCUAAAGAGUAACGGAGGAGCACGAAGGUUGGCUAAUCCUGGUCGGACAUCAGGAGGUUAGUGCAAUGGCAUAAGCCAGCUUGACUGCGAGCGUGACGGCGCGAGCAGGUGCGAAAGCAGGUCAUAGUGAUCCGGUGGUUCUGAAUGGAAGGGCCAUCGCUCAACGGAUAAAAGGUACUCCGGGGAUAACAGGCUGAUACCGCCCAAGAGUUCAUAUCGACGGCGGUGUUUGGCACCUCGAUGUCGGCUCAUCACAUCCUGGGCUGAAGUAGGUCCAAGGGUAUGGCUGUUCGCCAUUUAAAGUGGUACGCGAGCUGGGUUUAGAACGUCGUGAGACAGUUCGGUCCCUAUCUGCCGUGGGCGCUGGAGAACUGAGGGGGCUGCUCCUAGUACGAGAGGACCGGAGUGGACGCAUCACUGGUGUUCGGGUUGUCAUGCCAAUGGCACUGCCCGGUAGCUAAAUGCGGAAGAGAUAAGUGCUGAAAGCAUCUAAGCACGAAACUUGCCCGAGAUGAGUUCUCCCUGACUCCUUGAGAGUCCUGAAGGAACGUUGAAGACGACGACGUUGAUAGGCCGGGUGUGUAAGCGCAGCGAUGCGUUGAGCUAACCGGUACUAAUGAACCGUGAGGCUUAACC
RNAcentral lists this ribosomal RNA (2881 nucleotides) under Shigella dysenteriae. Its description in RNAcentral is "bacterial LSU rRNA". It matches the Rfam family "Bacterial large subunit ribosomal RNA". Lineage: Bacteria; Pseudomonadati; Pseudomonadota; Gammaproteobacteria; Enterobacterales; Enterobacteriaceae. The record is from RNAcentral.